Molecule: ribosomal RNA, 112 nt
Filed under: Danio rerio (zebrafish)
Lineage: Eukaryota; Metazoa; Chordata; Actinopteri; Cypriniformes; Danionidae
Source: RNAcentral
GCUGGCAGCUAGCUAUCUGCAACUCUCAAAUGGUCCCCUGAAGUUAAGCAGGGCUGCGCCCGGUCAGUACCUGAAUGGGAGACCUCAUGGGAAAGCUAGGUUGCUGCCAGUG